CUUUUUUUCGUGUCAAUUACAUUCAUUAACUCGAUGAAUAGUUCCAAUUGGGUCUUACCGUCCAACUCUGUCAAUUUAUCCAUCAAAAUGAGAGAUAAAAACGUCCUUUCAGGUUCUUCAUCCAUCAUCAACCCCAACUCCCCCUUCUUCAUCCAUCAUCCACCCAACAACCCCACCUCCAUCUUCAAAGAUCACUGCAACUAUGUUGUCAACUGCUAUUUCCAAAGGAAGGGCCAAACUGCACAGAGCAACGAUUUUGCAGGCGCUGCUACUCAGAGCCCAACUGCUCCAACCUCAAGUUCCACUUCCACUUGUGUUUAUCCUUCAAGUACUAGGUAGGUGUCUAUUCUACCUUUUUCAUACAGCCCAGCACUUCAAAAACAAAAAACAAAAAAGCCAAGAAACCAUUGGCCUGAAAUUUUCAGAAUCACCGUGACCCUUUUCUCAAGAGUGGAAGAGAGAUGUUGUAACUUUUAAGUGGUUGGAGUUGACGAAGGGAAGCUAAAUUGAUGGUGUUGAAACUUUGAAACCUCAUUGGCCUGAAAUUUUCAGAAUCCCCGUGACCCAACUUCCAGCUUCCUCCUCAAAUAUCUCUCUGUCUCUCUUUCUCUCUUCGUUUUUGAAGAAUCAUCUUCCAUAAUAUUUCAGAAAAAACAGAACUGAAAAUUAAGCCACACAAGUAAAAUUUUUUAUUUUUAAGUUUGGGAUCUGGGUUUUGAGGGGGGUGGGAUAAGGAGGGGGGAAUGGGUUGUGAGAGAGAGAGAAAGAGAUGGCAUGUUUACAUAUCAGUAAUAGGUAUGGAAAGAAAGGGAAUUAUUUA
Molecule: non-coding RNA, 820 nt
Organism: Prunus avium (sweet cherry)
Lineage: Eukaryota; Viridiplantae; Streptophyta; Magnoliopsida; Rosales; Rosaceae
Source: RefSeq, a predicted model, not a curated record